UGCCAAGGAAAUGGCUAGACAGUUGAAGGUGAAAGUCAUCAUCUAUCCCUUUUAUUUUCUUCCUCUUUUCACCAUGAAUUAUUUCUCAUAUUUUCUUUUCUUGGCUUCCAAAUGGAGCAACAAUUUCUGAUUUAUAACAAGAAAGUUCGUGAAUAGGUGAUACAAUACAACGCUUAGGUAGGGUGGAGGGUCAAGGAUUCAAUUCUGUCCAUAAUUAAAUUUAUUUUUUUCCCCAUAAAUACUUCUAUAUUGAUAAUGCUGAACACAAAUUAAAAAAAAAAAGGUUUGUCUCUCAUAAAUCCAAACUUCGCAGGGAAGGAAUGCAAGAGUAACAAUCAAU
RNAcentral lists this unclassified non-coding RNA (340 nucleotides) under Hevea brasiliensis (rubber tree). The record is from RNAcentral. Lineage: Eukaryota; Viridiplantae; Streptophyta; Magnoliopsida; Malpighiales; Euphorbiaceae.